This 253-nucleotide ribosomal RNA is filed under the name uncultured bacterium. RNAcentral's name for it is "partial 16S ribosomal RNA". It matches the Rfam family "Bacterial small subunit ribosomal RNA", at positions 524 to 776 of the family's 1533-position model. The record is from RNAcentral.
UACGUAGGUGGCAAGCGUUGUCCGGAUUUACUGGGCGUAAAGCGUAUGCAGGCGGGUUCUUAAGUAGGAAGUGAAAGGUUGGAGCUUAACUUUAACACUGCUCCCUAUACUGGGAACCUUGAGUGCCGGAGAGGAAGACGGAACGACACGUGUAGCGGUGAAAUGCGUUGAGAUGUGUCGGAACACCAAUGGCGAAAGCAGUCUUCUGGACGGAUACUGACGCUGAGAUACGAAAGCUAAGGGAGCAAACAGG